AAUUGUUUAUGGAGUUUUUGCAGUUCACUAUCCUCUUGCAAACAUCUCAUCCGAAGUUCCAUUUCUGAUUUACUGAGUUGUUCAUGAGGAAAUGCCGCCACAGGCCUCUCAGAGGGAGCAGCUUGUGCAGCCUCUCCUGACUUUGCUAAAGCACUUCCUACAAACUCGCGGCAAACAUGAAGAUCAGAGAAAUUUUUGAACUCAAAAAUGUAACUUCCACCCUGGUCCCUGGUGAGAUUAAGCCACGGUGGUUUAUUUGAUCCUUCCUUAGUGUUUUUGUGGCCUUUAAUAAAUCUAAACUCUACAUCAAGCUUAGAAGCUGAAGUGG
RNAcentral lists this unclassified non-coding RNA (328 nucleotides) under Hevea brasiliensis (rubber tree). Lineage: Eukaryota; Viridiplantae; Streptophyta; Magnoliopsida; Malpighiales; Euphorbiaceae. The record is from RNAcentral.